UAAGGAAUAUUGGGCAAUGGAGGCAACUCUGACCCAGCCAUACCGCGUGAAGGAUGGAGGCCCUACGGGUCGUAAACUUCUUUUGUCAGGGAAUAAAGUCAUCCACGUGUGGAUGUUUGCAGGUACCUGAAGAAUAAGCAUCGGCUAACUCCGUGCCAGCAGCCGCGGUAAUACGGAGGAUGCGAGCGUUAUCCGGAUUUAUUGGGUUUAAAGGGUGCGUAGGCGGACCGUUAAGUCAGCGGUGAAAGUUCCCGGCUCAACCGGGUCAGUGCCGUUGAUACUGGCGGUCUUGAAUACGGUCAAGGCAGGCGGAAUGUGAUGUGUAGCGGUGAAAUGCAUAGAUAUGUCACAGAACUCCGAUAGCGAAGGCAGCUUGCCGGGCCUGUAUUGACGCUGAGGCACGAAAGCGUGGGGAUCAAACAGG
Molecule: ribosomal RNA, 424 nt
Filed under: uncultured prokaryote
Also listed under: 1 other name
Description: bacterial SSU rRNA
Rfam family: Bacterial small subunit ribosomal RNA
Source: RNAcentral